RNAcentral lists this ribosomal RNA (455 nucleotides) under uncultured bacterium. Its description in RNAcentral is "bacterial SSU rRNA". It matches the Rfam family "Bacterial small subunit ribosomal RNA", at positions 153 to 626 of the family's 1533-position model. The record is from RNAcentral.
AAAACGGUCGCUAAUACCGCACGGUUCUGCUCUGAUGGGAAUGGAGCAGAUAAAGAUUUAUCGCUUUGAGAGGGGCCCGCGGCCGAUUAGCUAGUUGGUAAGGUAAAGGCUUACCAAGGCGAUUAUCGGUAGCUGGUCUGAGAGGACGAUCAGCCACACGGGAACUGAGACACGGUCCCGACUCCUACGGGGGGCAGCAGUGAGGAAUAUUGGGCAAUGGGCGAAAGCCUGACCCAGCAACGCCGCGUGGAGGAUGAAGGCUUUAGGGUUGUAAACUCCUUUUGUGGGGGAAAAGAAUGGAUGGUACCCCAAGAAUAAGUCACGGCUAACUACGUGCCAGCAGCCGCGGUAAUACGUAGGUGACAAGCGUUAUCCGGAAUUACUGGGCGUAAAGCGCACGCAGGCGGUCAGAUAAGUCUGAUGUGAAACCUUCUGGCUUAACCAGAAGACGUCGU